Molecule: long non-coding RNA, 708 nt
Filed under: Sorghum bicolor (sorghum)
Lineage: Eukaryota; Viridiplantae; Streptophyta; Magnoliopsida; Poales; Poaceae
Description: long non-coding RNA (SBIC_LNC001537)
Source: RNAcentral
GGCCCAGAGAGGGCGCUUGCCCCUUUUUUUUUUUUUUUAAACAGAUUUCUCCUAUUUAAUUAUUGCUCCAAAAUUUAAAUAAAGGCACAAACAAACAAAUAAAAUCAAGCAAAAAUUAUACUGCAGCAUGAAUGCAAACUCAAACAUGUUUCUACCUUAUAUUUAAUUUUAUUUAAUUUUGUAAAUUAUUUAAUAAUUUCCAAAAAUUCAAAUUGAGCCAAAAUUAAAUCAAAUUUAAACUAAAUUUGAAAUUCAAAAAUUUGGAGUGUUAUACCUGACGAUGCUGGGAGGCACCUUGGACGAAAGCUUACGAUGAUGACGCUAGUGGGCGUCACCUUUUCCUGUUGGGGUGUUGUAUUCCUCUUCCAACAUGUCUUUCACAGGUGGAAACCUGGUCCAUAUCUUGGACGAGCGACGACGGUGCCAUCGACUUUGCACCCUUCUUAAAAGGCGUCGCCAUUGGAAUCCGUCUUGGCCAUGAUGUCUCCUCCGGUUGAAUUCAGAGCUGCUGCAUUAGGGGAUGUGGCUCGGCAACAAUGAUACAGGUCGAACCCUCCUUCAACGACUAGAAUUCUGUUUGGGAGGUCUAGCAAACGCCAGGGUGGGGUGUGGGAUCAAGACAGGAAUUUGGAGCUGCUCUUCAAGGUUACAUGUGAGCUUUGCAAUGAUGACCCAUUGUGACCUCUUGCUUUGGACCCGUCUAUCUGG